AGCCACACACCUGUGUCGUAAUCCCUGCGGGACUGUGUCUAUCAGACCUCCUGUCGCUGGAGGGCAGUGGCCUCACCAAGCCUCCCUGACCGCCCCUCAUCUGCGCGGGGGUCUCCUCAGGGCCGGGCAGCAGCGCUCCGCCCGCCGGAAAAGGCAUCGAGAGCCGCCGGGCCUCGGCAAGGCUGGGGCAGGAGGCCACUGAUGAAAAUGCUGCUCCUGAGUUCAUUGCAACCCUCAACUCACAGGUUUAAGAUGCAAAGCAUACAGUGAGAAAGGUCAACACUGAUGUACUUCAGGCUUGGAGCAUCCCAUGUGUGACUGUGCUGACCUUCCUCUAAAACACUCAGGCUAUAUGGAAAUUCAAGAUUGCACCAUGACCUUGGGCUUUUUACCUAUGUGACACAAAGAAGGCUUUCUCCUGGGGGUGGUGAGCUUGGAGGCGCUUGGAGAAAUCUGGAUUUUCAAACCUGGGCUUGGAGCUACUGAAUUAACCCCUGGAGGUACCUACGGUGUUAAGUCUGAUCCUGUCCAACCACAGCGACACUGGAUACUGUGGGAGGAGGCACAUGGAACAUGACAGAGCAGAAGUGAAGGCAGCACUUCAGUGGCAGAGAUUCAAGCUGGCAGGCAAGUUAUGUCACUUUGUGGUGCUUUAUGACCUUGAGACACUGUCUCAAUAAAUCAUGCCAAGUAAUUAAAAACAUAAUUUAGAGCUUAACUAGCAUGUCAGAACACUGGGUAUACACUGGUGAUGCUUUUCUGUUUUCCUUCCCUUUCCCCCCCAUGAUGCUGUGCUCCAGCGGAGUCAAACCACCUACUGAAGGCAAAAACUCAAGACACAAUUAGUGGCUUGCUGCCAGCCACAUAAAUACAAAGAAGUUGAUCUAGCCCAGCUAGCUAUCUGCAGGUGCCCUGGAACCUCCUGCUGUCUGUUGAAUGGCCUCCUCUGACACCACAAGCAAAACCACAGGUUCUCCUGCAGUAUAAAUAUUUUCUUGCUGGUUUAAAUAGAAAACAGAUGUGUCUCAUUUAGUUGUGACCCUGAACACUGAGACUAGUAGCAAAGCAAGAAAAUGAUGGUAAGAUAUGAGGCACUUGGAGAAAAAAAAUGAAGGCAGUUGUAGAACUCAAAGUUGCCAAGUCAGAGACAUCAUUUGCCUGUUUAUUAGAUCCUUAGAAAAGAGAUUUUCAGUGGUGAUAAUGGGCAAAUAAUUGUCAGGUUUUGGGUACUAUUCAACCCCAUCCUCUGGCCCAGCACAAAGUGUGACAGAGCUGAGUGGCCUUGGCAGCAUGGGGAAGUCCCAGCUCCCAUGUUGGUCUUUUUAGCAGUAUUAUGGCAGUGAGAUCAGGGUGUGAGAAUGAGAAAAUGAACUCGCUGCCCCUAAGAAAAAGAUUCUCACAAAGAAGAGCAGAAGGAGAGAGUAAGAGCAGCUUCAUUAGACACUGAGGUGCAAGAUGGUGAUUUAAUCUGGGACAGAGCUGCACCAUACCUGUGUUUCUGGCAGGUUCAGUCCACACCAUCCUUGUACCACAAAACACAAAGCAAAUGCAGGAACAGAAUAACCCAGAUGUUGGAUCUCUGACCUUGGCUCAGGCUGUCUGUUUGUGAGCAGUUAGACAGCAGCAUCUGCCUGAUCUGGGGAAGGCUGCAGAGAUACCAGAUCUGUGGGAGCAGGCAAAGGACUGGAACAGCAUUUAGCAGCACUUUAUUGUCAGGGCCAGGCUGUGUAUGUCUGUGCAGGUGAAGCAGUGAAAUCAAGCAAACUUAGCUGUGUUCCUCUGUGGGCAGUGUUUGAUAGAUAAAGGUGCUCGUGCACUUGUUUGGAAGGGAGAAAGAGUAUAGAACAUUGUACAUCUCUCUCUCACAGUUCGGUUACUUUGGCAGAAGGUCUCACUGGUUUUCUUUUACAAAGGAAGCUGUUCAGGGAGGAUAUUCUCACCUUUCUUUAAACUGUGCUGGAGCCUCUUGCCACCAGCUGUUUCUGUAUUGUUACCCACCGCUGCCAUUUCAUGGGGCUGCAGCAGAGCUUAUUUCUGCUGGUUGCCACCCUGCUGGCAGUUAAUCGCCUGAGCACAAAAUGAAUCACGUGACAAAAAACUCAGAGCUAAUUAAUUUUUAAUUUGUGUCGUUUGAAAGUACAUUGCAUCUUCUUGCAGUUGGACUCUAAAGUGUGUCAUUUCCUUAGGCCGGGGGGCAGCCUGUCCCGGUUUGGGGUGCAAGACCCGGCUGCCUUAUCAAACCAGUGCCAUGCUGGGUAAAACCUGGUGCAGCCCAUCUGGAUCAGAUUAAGUUUGACUUUAUUCUUUUUUUCCUCUUUUUUUGGCAAGAGCCUUGGUUCUUCAUUUAUUAAAACAUAAACUUCACUUGAUGCUGUAAUUGCCCAGCUUGACAAUAAUAAAUCUUAUGAGCAGGUUUGCUGUUGCCAUGCUUGAAGUAAUGAUUUACAGUCAUUCACACAAAAUUUUAGAGUCGUAGUUUGUUUUUACAGUUAUGUAUUUCAAAGUCAGUGCAACAAACUGAGGAAGUGUGGUGUUCCGGUGCCUGUUGCAGUGGCAUAAGACAGCCUAGGCCAGCGAGCAGGGUUGUGUUUUCG
Long non-coding RNA from Columba livia (rock pigeon), 2594 nucleotides. RefSeq lists it as uncharacterized. The record is from RefSeq and is a predicted model, not a curated record. Lineage: Eukaryota; Metazoa; Chordata; Aves; Columbiformes; Columbidae. The transcript has 5 exons.